UGGGGGAUAUUGCACAAUGGGCGAAAGCCUGAUGCAGCGACGCCGCGUGGGGGAUGAAGGCCUUCGGGUUGUAAACCUCUUUUGCUCUGAACAAGGCAUGCCAAUGGGUGUGUUGAGUGGAGGGGUUGAUUAGCGCCGGCUAACUACGUGCCAGCAGCCGCGGUAAUACGUAGGGCGCGAGCGUUGUCCGGAAUUAUUGGGCGUAAAGGGCUUGUAGGUGGCUGGUUGCGUCUGUCGUGAAAGCUCAUGGCUUAACUGUGGGUUUGCGGUGGGUACGGGCUGGCUUGAGUGCAGUAGGGGAGGCUGGAAUUCCUGGUGUAGCGGUGGAAUGCGCAGAUAUCAGGAGGAAUACCGGUGGCGAAGGCGGGUCUCUGGGCUGUUACUGACACUGAGGAGCGAAAGCAUGGGGAGCGAACAGG
Molecule: ribosomal RNA, 419 nt
Filed under: bacterium
Lineage: Bacteria
Description: partial 16S ribosomal RNA
Rfam family: Bacterial small subunit ribosomal RNA
Source: RNAcentral